GUCACACCUCCCUGCAUGUGACUUGCACAGCCUUCCAUAAACACUUCCUGUAAAGAGAGCCCUAUUUAGGCUUUCUUUAUUGCAAGUUCUGUUUAAUUAAGAUUUUCUUAUCCCCUGCUAUGUUAAUAGCUUGCUAGACCCUGCAAGAGCCUCCUGUAUGUGAUUAAAGUUCAAUUUAGAGAUUGAGAUACAAUUAUUUAAGGUAAAUUACAUCUGUUUGAAAGUGAAACCAGUUUUGUUUUUUUCAUGCAGGCUCUGUCAAUCAUAGCCAGGGGAGGUGUGGCUAGGGCUGCAUAAACAGAAACAAGGUGAUUUAACUCCUAAAUGACAGUGAAUUGAGCAGUGAAAUUGCAGGGGAAUGAUCUAUACACUAAAACUGCUUUAUUUAGCUAAAGUAAUUUAGGUGACUAUAGUGUUCCUUUAAU
Molecule: non-coding RNA, 425 nt
Organism: Pelobates cultripes (western spadefoot toad)
Lineage: Eukaryota; Metazoa; Chordata; Amphibia; Anura; Pelobatidae
Source: the annotation of a GenBank genome assembly